Molecule: ribosomal RNA, 424 nt
Filed under: uncultured bacterium
Lineage: Bacteria
Description: bacterial SSU rRNA
Rfam family: Bacterial small subunit ribosomal RNA
Source: RNAcentral
AUAUUGGACAAUGGGCGCAAGCCUGAUCCAGCAAUGCCGCGUGUGUGAAGAAGGCCUGCGGGUUGUAAAGCACUUUCGGUCGGGAAGAACGUGCUUGAGGCUAAUACCCUUAAGCGGUGACGGUACCGACAGAAGCAGCACCGGCUAACUCCGUGCCAGCAGCCGCGGUAAUACGGAGGGUGCAAGCGUUAAUCGGAAUUACUGGGCGUAAAGCGCACGUAGGUGGUUUGGUAAGUCGGAUGUGAAAUCCCCGGGCUUAACCUGGGAAUGGCAUUCGAGACUGUCAAGCUAGAGUCUGGUAGAGGGUGGUGGAAUUCCAGGUGUAGCGGUGAAAUGCGUAGAUAUCUGGAGGAACAUCAGUGGCGAAGGCGGCCACCUAGACUGAGACUGACACUGAGGUGCGAAAGCGUGGGUAGCAAACAGG